GGGUUGCUAAUCUAGCGGUAUAACGCGUCGUUUCUUUCGAUAAUUAUUUCUCUAUAUAGGCCAAGCUCCCGAGAGAUAGUUAGAUCCUAGCGUGAGGUCGUAGGUUCGAAUCCUACGCGAUUUA
Non-coding RNA from Lasiosphaeria ovina, 124 nucleotides. The record is from the annotation of a GenBank genome assembly. NCBI's taxonomy places the organism in Eukaryota, Fungi, Ascomycota, Sordariomycetes, Sordariales, Lasiosphaeriaceae.